AAUUACAAAGAUCUGGGAAUCAUUAUUGAUUAUAGAUUAUCUUUUAAAAAUCAUAUUCAGAACCUUAUAAACAAAGUUCAUGUAGCAUUAGGUUUUAUUUGGCGAUAUUUAAGAGUUAAUAAAUAAUCCGAUUGUUUUAAAAUAUUAUAUGAUGCUUUUAUUAUAGCUAAGGUAUUAUAUGGUCUAUCAGUAUAUGCCAUGGCUCCUAUUUAUUUUCAAGAAAAAUUAGAAAUACUUUUAAAUCAUGCAAUUAACUCUGUCAAGAUUAUUGAAUUUACUGAGGGUGCAACCAUGUUAGAUAAAUAUAAGAUACUGAAAGUUACAGAUUUAUAGUCUCCAAUAGCAAAUUGAUUAUAAAAUAAUAGAUAAGUUGAUUAAUAAUGAAUCUAACAUUAUUUAUAUAGCUAUUGAUGCUCCAAAAUGUAAUUUAAGGAGAGAAGAAAGAGUAGAAAAGUUCUUAAUAUAAAAUUUCAUAGGUUGAAUAAUGCCUUUGCUUGAAGAACUUUUAUUAAUUACGAUAAAAAAGUUUAGCACGUUUUAUUGUUUUUUAUUUCACAUUACAAGUAAUGAUGAUUGGGGAGUGGUCUACCUGGCUAGAAACUUUCAGCCUAAUGGACUCAGAGAGAGAGAGAGAGAGAGAGAUUAUGUGUCACUUCUGAAAUCAGAUAUGACCAAUAAUGCUCUAGUGAUUGUUGUGUUGAGGUAUCAUUGUUGAUGCUAUAUUGAUUCUUAUUUAAAUUUUAUAAAGUUUUGAAUAAAUAUACAAAAUUUUUGUUUUAAUGUAUCAGUCUAUUCAUUUAAAAGCAUAUUAUAUUGUGUAUUCUUUGUGUAUAUUGUAAUAUUUAUAAAAAGCUUAUAAUAUGUUCUAACAGCUUUUGUUUCAGUUUCCAAGUUUAUAUUGAAUUAAUCAGCUAGAUCUUGUCAUAUUUUAUCAUUAUAUCUUUGAAGUUAAUGUUACUAUGUUGGUUUCAGUGUAUUUAUGCAUGGAUAUUUUUUCUGAUAUUUUUGUUACUGAUCCAUUAUAUUGAAUUGCUACAAUUUCUCCCCUUAUAUAGCAAUAUGUAUACAGGCAUACCUUGCAUUACAGUGCUUUGCUAAUAUGGCACUUCUCAAUUAUAUUCCAUGUUUUUAUUUAAUAUAACUCAAAAUGAAAAUCAUCUGCAAAAUAAUAAUACUUAGAAAAGAUAUAUAGGAUAAAAUAUAAAUUAAUAUGUAGAUGGGCCAAGUCUUGAUGCCAUCCUGAAAAACUGAAAGUGUAAGACCUAGAAUUGAAUCCGGAUCCUCCGAGAUGAUAAGCGAAUGCUUUAAAAUGCAGCCAUCUGGCCAAAUUUUUUGUCUAGUGUUAUUGUGCACUUAAUGAAUAAUAAUGUGAAUGUGAUUUUGGGUCUUUAUAUGCAUU
RNAcentral lists this long non-coding RNA (1399 nucleotides) under Androctonus crassicauda. The record is from RNAcentral. Lineage: Eukaryota; Metazoa; Arthropoda; Arachnida; Scorpiones; Buthidae.